RNAcentral lists this long non-coding RNA (549 nucleotides) under Coffea arabica (coffee). Its description in RNAcentral is "long non-coding RNA (CARA_LNC008004)". Lineage: Eukaryota; Viridiplantae; Streptophyta; Magnoliopsida; Gentianales; Rubiaceae. The record is from RNAcentral.
UACCAAUCGAGUGCAUCCCCCUCCAGGCUUUUCGAGAGUAGCCUUAAAGGUAGAUUUUCAUCAUCUACUGGCCUACCCAACUUGUUAGCGAACAAUCGGAUGUGUGUCUUGGGAUUGCCUGUACCAUCGUAUUUGUUAAAUUUCGGAGUUUUAAACCCCACAGGCAGUUGUACAUCAGGAAAAAGGCAAAACUCAUCAUAGUCCAGUACUCCUUGCUUGCUUAAACCCUGACUUUUUCUCAUGAAUUCAUCGAAACGAUCGAGGCGCUUGAGCAACUUCAUGUCAACAGGAGCAGAAGAUUCCCCAAUCUCUGGUUUUGCUUAGGCAGCGUUAUCUAACAGGAAAGGCUCUGUAGUGGCUUGUUAAAUGUCUGUGGUUCAGGGGGAAUAUUAGAAGUAAUUUGGGGUAGUGAAAUUUAAGCAUGACUAGGAUUGAAUGAAGGAUUAGGGGGUAAGAUAUGAUGGAUUUGCAACAGUGUAAUUAAAAGUUUCUUCAAGUGGACCAAUGAAAGAGGGAUUGAAGGCAGUUUGGGUCUGUGGUCUGGUAAUC